UACGUAGGCAGCGAGCGUUGUUCGGAGUUACUGGGCGUAAAGAGCGUGUAGGCGGCCACUUAAGUCCUGCGUGAAAUCUUGCGGCUCAACCGCAAGCGGUCGUGGGAAACUGGGUGGCUAGAGUGCGGGAGAGGAGAGUGGAAUUCCUGGUGUAGCGGUGGAAUGCGCAGAUAUCAGGAAGAACACCCGUGGUGAAGGCGGCUCUCUGGAACGCAACUGACGCUGAGACGCGAAAGCGUGGGGAGCAAACAGG
RNAcentral lists this ribosomal RNA (253 nucleotides) under uncultured bacterium. Its description in RNAcentral is "partial 16S ribosomal RNA". It matches the Rfam family "Bacterial small subunit ribosomal RNA", at positions 524 to 776 of the family's 1533-position model. The record is from RNAcentral.